This 468-nucleotide ribosomal RNA is filed under the name uncultured bacterium. Its description in RNAcentral is "partial 16S ribosomal RNA". It matches the Rfam family "Bacterial small subunit ribosomal RNA", at positions 28 to 507 of the family's 1533-position model. The record is from RNAcentral.
GACGAACGCUGGCGGCGUGCUUAACACAUGCAAGUCGAACGGAAAGGCCCUGCUUUUGUGGGGUGCUCGAGUGGCGAACGGGUGAGUAACACGUGAGUAACCUGCCCUUGACUUUGGGAUAACUUCAGGAAACUGGGGCUAAUACCGGAUAGGAGCUCCUGCUGCAUGGUGGGGGUUGGAAAGUUUCGGCGGUUGGGGAUGGACUCGCGGCUUAUCAGCUUGUUGGUGGGGUAGUGGCUUACCAAGGCUUUGACGGGUAGCCGGCCUGAGAGGGUGACCGGCCACAUUGGGACUGAGAUACGGCCCAGACUCCUUCGGGAGGCAGCAGUGGGGAAUAUUGCACAAUGGGCGGAAGCCUGAUGCAGCAACGCCGCGUGCGGGAUGACGGCCUUCGGGUUGUAAACCGCUUUCGCCUGUGACGAAGCGUGAGUGACGGUAAUGGGUAAAGAAGCUCCGGCUAACUACGUG